This 72-nucleotide transfer RNA is filed under the name Pristionchus pacificus. RNAcentral's name for it is "tRNA-Asp (GTC) (tRNA-Asp-GTC-4-1)". It matches the Rfam family "tRNA". Rfam says of the family: Transfer RNA (tRNA) molecules are approximately 80 nucleotides in length. Their secondary structure includes four short double-helical elements and three loops (D, anti-codon, and T loops). The record is from Rfam by way of RNAcentral. Lineage: Eukaryota; Metazoa; Nematoda; Chromadorea; Rhabditida; Neodiplogasteridae.
UCUCUGGUAGUAUAGUGGUUAGUAUCCGCGCCUGUCACACGCGAGACCCGGGUUCAAUUCCCGGCCAGAGAG